This is a long non-coding RNA of Aedes albopictus (Asian tiger mosquito), 601 nucleotides long. RefSeq lists it as uncharacterized. The transcript has 3 exons. The record is from RefSeq and is a predicted model, not a curated record. NCBI's taxonomy places the organism in Eukaryota, Metazoa, Arthropoda, Insecta, Diptera, Culicidae.
CGUUGUAUUGUUGUAAUUGUAAUGGUUCUCAUUUUUUGGAACGUGGAAAGCAGAAUCGGCACCGGACUCCGGAAAUUACCUACCAGCAGAUUACGGAAACAACGUGUAACAGCAAUUUCAGAUUUAUCAUCAAUUUGGUAAUAGCCGCUACCAGUUUCCUCCGUUUCCUCCUGUUAGGGUGGAAGAAGACGAGGAAGCGUGGCCGCACCAAAUCGUAUUGGGUCCAUCCGUAUCUAGCCGAAAGAAAUCAGAAAGGCAGAUAUGCAACCGAUCGCUUUUGGUCCCACGAAAUUAUCUUAAUUGCAACAGUAUGGUAAAUUGAAUUAUGCCUCGCCAAGUUGGAGAGCGAGUCCGACAUUCAAGUCUAGCAACCAAGCGACAACCAGCACGACGGAGACGACGACAGAAGAUUAUGACAAAGUUGGGAGUCUUCAUCAUCAACCAACAACGACUGAGACUGGUCGUUAUAAUGGUCCUGGUAUACAUAGGAUAGAGAUGAGAUUCCCUCGGAGGGUACGAAAGGACAGCAUAUUAUUACGAAAACACAAAACAAGGGAGAAAGGAGUAAAGUGAAAGCACAAGUUGUGCAUUGCUCUUGGAA